GUGCCCUGCGAGAGGUCUUGCCGUAGAAACGCUUCCCUCGCUGCGCUGUAAAAACGUAUUUUCAGCUCCGUCGCCGUUGUGAAAGCAAAUCAGUGCAGUAUGAAGGCUGUAUCACAACUCCAGCUUGGACUUAGUCCUUUUCACUCCAUCUACUGGACUACCAGAUUUACCUGUGCCUAGACAUGUCCCUUCAGGAUAUGUACUGACUGAAGUGAGGAGGAAGCUGAGUCUGCAGGAGUAACUGCUGGUGAGUGGGCACAGGGGUGAUGUGGUCUUGGACUUGAUCUUAGAGGGCUUCUCCAACCUUAAUGAUUUUAUGAUUCUGUGAACUCACUGCCUCUCUCCAAAGAAACAGAGCAAAUCCUUGACAGAACUGCAACAUAAUUUGGAUGUCCAUAUUUCUAAUCGCACUCUUAGCCGCAAGACCAAGCUUAGUCCUCGUUCCCAUACUUGGUGAGAAAAUUUUGUGCACCCAUGGAAUGUCACAGCUAUACCUCUGCUCUCAAGCAGUGGGACUGAGCACACCCUGGAAGCCUGCAACACUUUCCAGCUCAAGUGUAAAUCAGCAUUCAUAAUACAAGAAAUUUUGCUCUAAGGCUGAGCGUAGUGAUUUAGCAAUAAUAGUCUCUAGUUUCUUCAUAACGGAGAAUGGCCACAGGUUUGAGCUCUGUCUGAAGAGCAGACAUUCAACAGGCAAUCUCAAGAACUCCAGUGCUGUGACCAGCAAAUGGGAAAGCAAGGACUCCCAUGAACGCAGCUCAUCCUUCACUUACCUGAAGCAAAACAAACUGCGCUCAAGUUGGAAUGAACAAGCAGUAGUUCUGUACCAGCUACACCUCCUUUGUGCUUUAGAAAGCAUCAGUUAAUUCAGUGCAGAGAUAGACCAACUGCUUUCUUUGACUGUGAAUCUUACAUAGGAUUGUAUUCCCACCUGUCAAAACACCACCAACUUGCUAUGUUGGUGUAAUGCCUAUGCUUUCUGCCAAACAAGGUCUUUCCCUUUUUGUCAAGCAACAGCAGUACGCCUUCAAUAAGCAUAUUGUUUUUCUCCUUUGCAGCGAAGACCCAUGUAGGGCAGCCCAAAAGUCUACACCUAUAACAUGGGAGAAGAGGUCAACUCAACUUGGAUAUCUCGUGUUAAAGGUCUUGUGAUAGAGAAGAUCCUCCCUGUACACAUAACAUGUUUGGAACCCUCACAACAGGCUCCUGGAAGGGUGCCCUGUGCCACCAGUAGCACUAACAAGAUCUUUGUGUUAGCACACACAAGUUACAAUAGUGACAUACUAGAAGUUUCAUUUCCACAGUUGUUUCCUUUGAAAACACAUUCCUCAGUGUCAAACUACCCAAAUGUCUCUGCUUUUCAGUUCAAGGAUAAGUAUAUCCAUUAAAAUGAAGAAAAACACGAAAAUGAGAAAGUCAACAACACAAAAGAGCUAUGGAGACCUGCCACCACCCUGGUAAAUCUGCAAACUUGGAACAUAUUUCAGGAGCUUAAGGACAAGUUUGACCAGAAGCAAUGCACAAAGUUUCAGACUUCCUAAAUUCUCCUUUCCUCCAGCACCUGAACAAUUGCACUGCUGAUGUCAGGGAACAAAAGAUGGUCCCCUAUUUCCCAGCAGAACAAAUUAAUCUUUCCUCCAGCUGAAAAAAAAAAAAAGAAAGAAAAAAAAAAAAGAACUUUUUGGUGACAUAGUUACAUGUAUCCUGUGAGAAACAGCUCCUGAAACAAAUAAAAAGACCCUAUAACUUUGGGAGAAAAGGGCCCAAUGCUGUGUAAAUUCAGAAGUUCACAUCAGAUCAGUUCUUGGGUUAGCAACAUGGCUAAAAUCUUCAGUCUGAGACCACAUAACACUAGGGAGAGGAGUCUCUUUGAGUACUAGAAGGCGAACAUCUCUGCUGAAAUAUUUGCAUUGCAAUCUCUGGGUCUAUGUUGAGACACAGCCUGAAAAUAUUUGCAGCAGAAUAACUGUGGAUUAUCUUGUCCUGUUCCAGAUGAUUUUCACAGAACUCUUUAAUUUUAUAAUGCUUGUGUCUCUGUGGCUCCCCAAGCACGACCUAUGUUGACUUAAUGAUAGAGUUGCACUACACUGAGAUUUCUAACUGCAUGUAACCUCUAUUUGUGGGGACUCUCCUUCCUACAUGCACAUGAAUAAGACAAUGAUGUGGUUCUGUGCUUUGUAUGGUCAUCUCAUAUUGACGACGCUGGUUAAAAGGAAAAUAUUUUCUUGAAUUAUACGUAUUAGACCAGGACUAUUUUGGGGAACACAAUUACUCAGCAGAAGUGCUGGAACUGAACUGUAGUACGUGUAAACCUACAUUUGGAAUUAAACCCAGUGCAUUAAAAUAAUAAACCCCGUGUGUCACAUAUUGAGGCUUAAUAAGCUGCAGCAGACUGGGAACAAUCAUUUCUGUGCGGUCAUAUGAAAUGAUGUGGGAUUUUUCCAAUACCAUGACUUCUAAUGAAGAGUUCUGCUUUGCCAUUAUUCUUACCGCUAUUUGAAGUGGGUCUGCUAUUUCUGCUAGCAUUUGAAAACCUGAAAGCUGACAAAUGAAAGCAACAAAAGACGGUGUUGCACAGUUUAAGCCAACAGAAGUAUAAAGGAGAGACCUGGGUCUUCAGCAGGAGGCUGUGGAAUCUUAACAAAGACCUAAUAAAUAUUAACACUGAACUUGGUACAGACAAUUAUAUGUGAGGAAAUUAUUUUGCAUAUGUUUCUAUGAAUUAUGUAUGAUUCUCUCACCUUUCUGCUUUUCUUAAAAUAGUAUUUCAACAAGAACUGACCAUGCAAGCUGUGGCUUCAAAGCCUUUUGAACUCCAAGCAAAAGCACGGGCAGAUGGAGCAUUCAGUCAGGCUCUUUGCCCAUCCUUCUGCAAAUGGCAGGAACGAUGAAAGCAGCAUAAAUAAUAGAGAGGAGCACAGCACGGAAAAAUAAAUGGCUAAAGAACUCAGAAGCAAUACUUCUGGAAUUUCUCUCCUCAUCAUUUUCUAAGUCCUAGAACCUUCUACUUCCCCUGCUAGCUAAAGAAAAGAGAUCAGUUUAACUCAGGCAUGUAAGGACAGUUCUUUCUUCGAACUUAAUUGCAAGAAAAGCCUGUGGAAGGUAAUGCAGAUGUAAGGGAUGUGACUGCGCACGCCAGACAGACACUGCCAGCAUCAGUUCUUCCUACUUUCCCCAGCCGUUAAUUACUCACUGGAGAUUAUGCCCCCAGUGCAAUUUCUUUGUUCUCCAGCUUUAUUACAACACAGUGAACUCUUCAGGAGUGUAAGUUUUUGCCAACAAGAAGCAAAUUAAUGACACAUUACCGUGUGUUUCCGCUGUCAUCACAAGUGAACACAGUACUUGUAAGAGAUGCUAUUUGCAGACCUCUUAAAGCAAAGACCUUGGAUCUAGCCCCAGCUAUGGCACAGUGAGCCAACCACAGCUCUACAAGAUACAAGAUACAAGGCUGCAGUGAUCUAAGUGGUGCCUCAACCAAACCUUUAACUCCAUCCAAAUAGAAACACAGCACAGCAACACAACCUCCCUCUGCACUGCCCUGUUAACUCAUCAUCAGUGCAGCUUCUCAGGCUAUUCCACCACCUGGUGGAACCCAAGAACGUACUCCAUUAAAUGUCAGCAAACUAAUUGCUAGCCUGUCAAAAUACAGCAUAUAUGACCGCUGACAGCUCUCGCUGGCUGUGUAUGAUUUAGAUAGUCUUUGUUAUCAUUAUCCCAUGCAAUACAUUGUAUAAUCAACAAAUAUACAGAGUGGUGUGUUUAGGCUGGUAUCUGCAGAUCGUACAGCUAGAAAGAUUGUCAUGUUGGAAAGGGAUAAUUGAAAAUAAAUGAAAAUGCUCACCGAUGUCCUAGGCUCACAGAAAAAACUCCAAGAGGAGCAAUCUCCAACCAGAGAUCCUUCUCCAGUGACAGUUAGCCCUUGAACGGGGUCGAGGAGAGGUGCAUCCAGGCUCCACCCCUUCCGAUCACACAGCUGGAUUGCCUUCACCUGUGCUCCCAGGGCUGACUCAGCCCUUGCCUCAGGUGAUCAAUCAGAGGUUCAGGCCGUGACUCAACAGUUCCCAUACAUACAUAGAUUGUCAUUUUUAAACAGACAAAAUGUACAUAUUAUAAUAAAUUCUUCAUAUGUAUGGUACAGAGUGCCAUGUAUAGGUGGUGCUACGCCACACAUUAUCCAGUAAUAGGUAUUACCAAAUCAUUUGCUUUCAUCGUUCUCACCAGUAGAUGAUCACGGUUUGUUUUCUUCCAAACACCCACUUUGUUAUUUCAUAUCCACUUAUUAAGGAAUAUCCUUAUAUUGUGAGUGGCAAGAAAUGUGGAGAGAGGCCAUAUACCAAAGUGCUGUGUCAACCUGCAAGGACCUGCAGAGGGCAGGACCAUGAGGUUCACUGGUUUGGGGGUAUUACCCAGCACUCCAGAGCUGUUCUAAAGGUCACGCAUUCUGUGCAUAAAUAGAAGUGUUGCUAACUGAUCUUUGCUAAACUGACUGGCUACUUGCUUAGACAGCCCUGAACAAAUAUUAAUUGAAACAAUCCAGAGGGCACAUUAUCUCUGAAGAAACCAAAGAUGUUCCGUUGACUUUGGUCUCAAUUACUCAACAGCUUCCACACAGAAAAAGCACACUCGUGAAAGAAGUCAAUCUACUGCUUUAAUACAAAACAUAACUAGAAAGGGUUCAUGCAGAAUCCUACUGUUUCUGUGAUGACCCCCUUUAGGAAAGCACAACUCGGAGAGGGAAAAUUGCUAGAAAGCUGCUGUUUCAUGUGCAUCAUUUGUCUGUGAGAUCUGAAUCAUCAGCUUAACUGCUGAAUUACUCUUUCUGCCUUAAGAUAUGAGAGAGGGAUUCUGAGGGAAACAGAUCAAAAGGCAGCCUUUCCUCCAGCAUAGCACUGAGUGCAGGAGCCAGUUAAAAGUCAUUGCCUUUGUUCUUUGUAGAGUACAAGAACCAGUCUUCCCAUACAUCUUAGCAAUACUGAGAAGCAGAUGAAGCAGAUGAGGAAAAAGAGUGCCUACCUCUCCUAACUAUUUCGCUUCUGCAAAAUAAAGAGUCCAGAUUAGUCAGAGUUACUUGUUGUUAAAUCUAGCAGCCACUUCAGCAAGAACAAUGACAGAAAACCUUGCAGUAACAGGAUUCACUGUGAGGGUGUGAGGGUUGCUGUGCCAUACUUUACAGGGAACCAUUCUGCUUAAUGGUUUAGCAUCUGCUAAGCGUCAGAGUCGGUGAUGUGUUGGUGACAGCGCAGAACUGCUGAAACACAGGACAACAAGCAACAUGAAAAAGCAGAUGCUGAGGCUGUUCAGGCCCUUGAAAAGGGCACUCAUGACAAGAAAGCUCCUGUGAUUCAAUUCAAGGGCUUCACAUCUGGAACAAAACACUUUUUGCAGGGUGCAUGAAGAGGAGCUGGUAACUUUAUAAAGAUAGCACACUCCAGAAGGCUUGGUUCUUUACUGCAAACAAAGCUGGUAGACUUCAAGCAAAACUACGUAGGCUAUAAUGAAUAUUUUUGACUGUAGGGAGAAAAAUGAAUGGCUUGAGUCCAGAAACUCUCUGCCUACAUACAGAACUAGGUCUGUAGGAGAUCCUUAUUCAGCAAGUUUCCUACAAAAGACAUUAAUUUACAUUUUCUUGUUUAAACAACUUUCUCCAUGUGAGAAAUUCCAGCAGACACAGGCUUGGAGGAAUGAAUGAGUGCUGCAAAGAAUUCUGUACAUCACAUAUGGACACUUGUGACUGCUACCAUUCUGGGGUCCCAAAGAUGAUGCAGACACCAGGACAUCAGUCCCUGUUAAUCUGCAGCUGCUCUCCUCCUGGCAGUGCAGUUUGAGAUACAUGAGGUCCUAAAAGGGCUCAGAUGAAAGGAAAGGUUUCUUUUAAUUGUCAUCACUGUUAAUGAACAACUUAGUCCUGUUCAAACAUUCAGACUGUGAUAUGGGUAAGUGUCUCAGUUUAUCAUGCCCUCAAUCUUUUGAACAGCUAGGUUUUAUUUGCUAAGCUCUGGCUGGUCCAAAAGGAACAAGCUUACCCUGAGAGAGAUUGGCUGAACUUGCGGCCUGGACUUUAGAUAAAAAAAUGUUCAGGAUUUGAUGCAAUUUUGCCUCAGCUACUUUUGCCAAGCUUUGAGCUGUCCUUGCAAACCCAGCAACUAAAGCAAACUUCCCUGGAACCCUCCUGCAAAAUAGAAAGGCAUAGUCUCAUUUCAAAAGGCUUUUACUAGGAGGUUCCAUGUCUACAAGUUAAAGAGAAAUGAUGAGUCUUUGUGCCAAAACGAAAAAUACAAACACAAAUGAAUGUGCUAGUGUUAGCUAUGGUUUUCUAUUUUCUAUGCAAUUAGAAUAGCCAUGUGAAAUAAUUAAACAGUGACAACAUGUACUCCUCGUACUGUUGCAUAAUAGCUUCCCAUGAAUUUAUUAAUCAAUGUAUAGCUGUUGAAAUAUUCAAUAUGUUGUGCUGGGGCAUUCCACUCUUGUCCCCAGGGUGAACUCCUUUCCUAUUGCUCUGGCUCACUCAGCAUCAGUACUGUUGACAUUUUCAAUGAUACUACAGUUUUAUCUUUGAGAUUUUUUGAAGAAAAAAUGUUGCAACAAAGACAAAAUACAUCAAACGAGAUGUCCAGCUGUCCACAGAAACAAAGGCCUAUCUUCUGUAAGUGACAUUCAACUAAUUCAAGGGUAAGUGCUCUCUUACUUGACGGUGGUAUUCAUUUAGCCCCCGACAUCCUUUCCAACUGGAGUGGAAGGGUUGCAGCUGCUUCUGCAGCAUCAUCAAUUUCAGCCCCCGCUGCAAUGAAACCCUUAGGAAAUUUAGUGGGGCAUCAACCUCAUCUCUGAGCAACCUGAGCCUCACCACCCCCACUAUCAAAGACUUUUUCCUUAUAUCUAACCUAAAUCUACCCUCACUGAGCUUUAAGGCAUUUCCCCUUUUUCUAUCACCACAGACCCUGCACUAAAGAGUCUGUCCCUUUCUUUUCCCCUUUAAUUUGUACUCAGCAAAUAAUUUCUUUUCUGGAAGGCAUGCCAUAAGACUGGAACUUUGCUGGUGUUGGGUGGAGAGGCCUUCAUCUUUGAGCCUGAUCAUGCAGCUCAAUUACUGCAUCCUCUGGGAAGUCUGGUAUAGUCUUGUCUUGCCAAUAAAUUAAAAAAUAAAUAACUAAUGCUAAACAUUGA
Long non-coding RNA from Gallus gallus (chicken), 7164 nucleotides. RefSeq lists it as uncharacterized. NCBI's taxonomy places the organism in Eukaryota, Metazoa, Chordata, Aves, Galliformes, Phasianidae. The transcript is spliced from 3 exons. The record is from RefSeq and is a predicted model, not a curated record.